CUUGAUGUUCGCUGUGUGUGGGAGACCGUCGGGUCUGCCGGGUAUCCAACCGGUUCGCCAACCUGCACACAGCCGCCACCUAU
RNAcentral lists this non-coding RNA (83 nucleotides) under Pseudomonas floridensis. The record is from RNAcentral. Lineage: Bacteria; Pseudomonadati; Pseudomonadota; Gammaproteobacteria; Pseudomonadales; Pseudomonadaceae.